AACGAACGCUGGCGGCAUGCCUAACACAUGCAAGUCGAACGACACCUUCGGGUCUAGUUGCUCACGGGUGCGUAACGCGUGGGAACCUGCCCUUAGGCUUGGAAUUACUCCCCGUCGGGGGUGCUAAUACCGGGUAAUUUCUUCGGACCAAAGAUUGAUCGCCUUUGGAGGAGCCCGCGUUGGAUUAGCUUGUUGGUAGUGGAAAAGCCUACCAAGGAGUAGAUCCAUAGCUGGGCUGAGAGAAAGAUCAGCCACGCUGGGAAUGGGAAACGGUCCAGACUACUACAGGAGGCAGCAGUGGGGAAUAUUGGAAGAUGGGCGAAAGGCUGAUCCAGCUAGGCCGCGAGAGUGAUGAAGGCCUGAGGGUUGUAAAGCUGUUUUACCCGGGAUGAUAAUGACAGUACCGGGAGAAUAAGCUCCGGCUAACUUCGUG
RNAcentral lists this ribosomal RNA (433 nucleotides) under uncultured bacterium. Its description in RNAcentral is "partial 16S ribosomal RNA". It matches the Rfam family "Bacterial small subunit ribosomal RNA", at positions 29 to 507 of the family's 1533-position model. The record is from RNAcentral.